GAAAUGCGAUAAGUAAUGUGAAUUGCAGAAUUCAGUGAAUCAUCGAAUCUUUGAACGCACAUUGCGCCCGCCAGUAUUCUGGCGGGCAUGCCUGUUCGAGCGUCAUUUCAACCAUCAAGCCCCGGCGCUUGUGUUGGGGACCCGCGGCUGCCGCGGGCCCUUAAAGACAGUGGCGGUCCUCGCUGCAGCACCGAGCGUAGUAGCUAUACACCUCGCCCUGGGAGCUGCGCGUGCGACCACGCCGUAAAACCCCCCACCUCUCUCUCAGGUUGACCUCGGAUCAGGUAGGGAUACCCGCUGAACUUAAGC
This 309-nucleotide unclassified non-coding RNA is filed under the name plant metagenome. RNAcentral describes it as "partial contains 5.8S ribosomal RNA, internal transcribed spacer 2, and large subunit ribosomal RNA". The stretch from base 1 to 105 matches the Rfam family "5.8S ribosomal RNA", at positions 50 to 154 of the family's 154-position model. The record is from RNAcentral.